This 367-nucleotide ribosomal RNA is filed under the name uncultured organism. Its description in RNAcentral is "bacterial LSU rRNA". It matches the Rfam family "Bacterial large subunit ribosomal RNA", at positions 2099 to 2465 of the family's 2925-position model. The record is from RNAcentral.
CUUUACUGCAGCUUCGCCUUGUCGUUAGCAACAACAUGUGUAGGAUAGGUGGGAGGCUAUGAAUCCGGGGCUCCAGUCUCGGGGGAGCCAACCUUGAAAUACCACCCUUAUUGUUGUUGACGUCUAACCGCGGCCCGUUAUCCGGGUCCGGGACAUGGCGUGGCGGGCAGUUUGACUGGGGCGGUCGCCUCCCAAAGGGUAACGGAGGCGCGCGAUGGUGGGCUCAGACCGGUCGGAAAUCGGUCGUCGAGUGCAAUGGCAUAAGCCCGCCUGACUGCGAGACUGACAAGUCGAGCAGAGACGAAAGUCGGCCAUAGUGAUCCGGUGGUCCUGCGUGGAAGGGCCAUCGCUCAACGGAUAAAAGGUA